CACGUAGGGGGCAAGCGUUGUCCGGAUUUAUUGGGCGUAAAGCGCUCGUAGGCGGCUUAGUAAGUCGGGUGUGAAACCUCCAGGCUCAACCUGGAGACGCCACCCGAUACUGCUGUGGCUAGAGUCCGGUAGGGGAGCGUGGAAUUCCUGGUGUAGCGGUGAAAUGCGCAGAUAUCAGGAGGAACACCAGCGGCGAAGGCGGCAUCCUGGACCGGCAUUGACGCUGAAGCGCGAAAGCUAGGGGAGCAAACGGG
Molecule: ribosomal RNA, 254 nt
Filed under: uncultured bacterium
Lineage: Bacteria
Description: partial 16S ribosomal RNA
Rfam family: Bacterial small subunit ribosomal RNA
Source: RNAcentral